This 467-nucleotide ribosomal RNA is filed under the name uncultured bacterium. RNAcentral describes it as "partial 16S ribosomal RNA". It matches the Rfam family "Bacterial small subunit ribosomal RNA", at positions 28 to 507 of the family's 1533-position model. The record is from RNAcentral.
GACGAACGCUGGCGGCGUGCUUAACACAUGCAAGUCGAACGGAAAGGCCUCUUUCGGGGGGUACUCGAGUGGCGAACGGGUGAGUAACACGUGAGUAACCUGCCCUUGACUUUGGGAUAACUUCAGGAAACUGGGGCUAAUACAGGAUAGGAGCUCCUGCUGCAUGGUGGGGGUUGGAAAGUUUCUGCGGUUGGGGAUGGACUCGCGGCUUAUCAGCUUGUUGGUGGGGUAGUGGCUUACCAAGGCUUUGACGGGGAGCCGGCCGGGGAGGGUGACCGGCCACAUUGGGACUGAGAGACGGCCCAGACUCCUAAGGGAGGCAGCAGUGGGGAAUAUUGCACAAUGGGUGGAAGCCUGAUGCAGCAACGCCGUGUGCGGGAUGACGGCCUUCGGGUUGGAAACCGCUUUCGCUCAUGACGAAGCUUUGUGUGACGGUAGUGGGUAAAGAAGCACCGGCUAACUACGUG